UUGCGGUUAAAAAGCUCGUAGUUGGAUUUCUGUUGAGGAUGGCCGGUCCGCACUAUGUGCGUGUAUCUGGUUCAGCCUCGGCAUCCUCUCGAAAGCCGUUGCUGCGCUUGAUUGCGUGGCUCGGAAUUCGGGACUUUUACUUUGAGGAAAUUAGAGUGUUCACGGCAGGCAAGCGCCUUGAAUAUAUUAGCAUGGAAUAAUGUUAUAGGAUUUUGGUCCUAUUUUGUUGGUUUCUAGGGCUGAAAUAAUGAUUAAUAGGGACAAUUGGGGGCAUUCGUAUUAACGCGUCAGAGGUGGAAUUCUUGGAUUGCGUUACGACGAACUACUGUGAAAGCAUUUGCCAAGGAUGUUUUCAUUGAUCAAGAACGAAAGUAAGGGGAUCGAAGAUGAUUAGAUACCGUCGUAGUCUUUACCAUAAACUAUGCCAACUAGAGAUGGGGCGUGUUAUUUAUGACUCGCUCCGCACC
RNAcentral lists this ribosomal RNA (467 nucleotides) under uncultured marine eukaryote. RNAcentral describes it as "SSU rRNA". It matches the Rfam family "Eukaryotic small subunit ribosomal RNA", at positions 613 to 1087 of the family's 1831-position model. The record is from RNAcentral.